This 253-nucleotide ribosomal RNA is filed under the name uncultured bacterium. Its description in RNAcentral is "partial 16S ribosomal RNA". It matches the Rfam family "Bacterial small subunit ribosomal RNA", at positions 524 to 776 of the family's 1533-position model. The record is from RNAcentral.
UACGAAGGUGGCAAGCGUUGUUCGGAAUCACUGGGCUUAAAGAGCACGUAGGCGGCCUUGCAAGCGCUUUGUGAAAUCCCUCGGCUCAACCGGGGAGUUGCUGGGCGGACUGCAAGGCUUGAGGCAGGUAGGGGUGUGUGGAACUCUAGGUGGAGCGGUGAAAUGCGUAGAUAUCUAGAGGAACGCCGGAGGCGAAAGCGGCACACUGGGCCUGUCCUGACGCUGAGGUGCAAAAGCUAGGGGAGCAAACGGG